This 301-nucleotide ribosomal RNA is filed under the name uncultured bacterium. RNAcentral's name for it is "partial 16S ribosomal RNA". It matches the Rfam family "Bacterial small subunit ribosomal RNA", at positions 509 to 807 of the family's 1533-position model. The record is from RNAcentral.
CAGCAGCCGCGGUAAAACAGAGGGUGCGAGCGUUAAUCGGAUUUACUGGGCGUAAAGCGUGCGUAGGCGGCUUCUUAAGUCGGAUGUGAAAUCCCUGAGCUUAACUUAGGAAUUGCAUUCGAUACUGGGAAGCUAGAGUAUGGGAGAGGAUGGUAGAAUUCCAGGUGUAGCGGUGAAAUGCGUAGAGAUCUGGAGGAAUACCGAUGGCGAAGGCAGCCAUCUGGCCUAAUACUGACGCUGAGGUACGAAAGCAUGGGGAGCAAACAGGAUUAGAUACCCGUGUAGUCCCUGUCUCUUAUAC